GGACACGUAGCCGAAGAGAGCGGCCCAGCUACGCUCUGGGACGCAGGCGGGGAGAAGGGGCUAGAUGCCGAACGGGACGGCUGGAUCGGCGGCAACCCAGUUCAGCUGCCGCGGCCACGACCCACGACCCGAAGCCGCAGCUACAGGCUGACGGCGCCGCUUCCCGGAUUCCCUGCGGCUACGAUCCGCAGCUUGCGGAGCUGACCGGACGUUCCAGGCGCCUCCACCCUGCUGAACACCUGACCAGGCCGACCGUGUGGACCGAGCGUCGGGCACAGCGACGCAGUCGAUUCUACGACGCAUCGGCGGGCCCAACGACGUGUCGUCGGAAGCAGCGACGACGAGGUGACGUGGCCACGUCGAAUGUGUUCAUUCCGCUGCCCUCAAGAGUGUGCACCCUAAAGUACGCACUUUGACAUGUUUGGUGUGCACUGAACGCUUUUUAUUUUUUUGCACCGUGACAUCAUUUGGGCGUGUGUUGAACGCACCGUGUGCACAGCAUUUGUAGUAUGAAGCUGUCUCAGCUUUACCUUGACCUCGUCUCGCGAUAUAAGUUCUUUAUGUACUGGAGAAGAACGCGCAGAACUGCUUCGAGAAAGAGCACGACGACGAGUUGGUCGAAGCGUUGUGCCUGCAUUGUUCGAGCUGCGCGACCCCUCGCUGUAGUGUUCAACUCUCUGGGGGUUUCAUUAAUUAAACCAACACGCCUAUCGGUGGAGAUGCCGUGCCCUUUACAAGCCUGGAACUCCGCAGCCGGACGCUCCCUCCCGUUUCUGCCAUGCCGUCGCCGAUCCUCCCCAGGGCUGCCGUCUGCUUUGCGCCAGCGAGUUUCUGCUGCGUUCAGCGCCAUGGACAACCAUAAUGAGGCUCUCGUCAUACAACAAAUGACAUGACAGCUAAACUCACUGUCUUUCUCGUCGCCAAUCUCUGGUUAUGAAUUAGUUUUUGCAAAGCUGCUUCUCUUAUGCUGUAAUCACGUGAGCACUCUGUGUUUCACCAGGGGUUAGAAGACCCACAUUUAGUGGAGUGCACAGUGAAUCGAGACCUUGUUACAGAAUCUUUUAAAACAAAAAAUAAAUUAGUGGUCUUUUCUUCAUUAUCCCAUA
This is a non-coding RNA of Dermacentor albipictus, 1106 nucleotides long. NCBI's taxonomy places the organism in Eukaryota, Metazoa, Arthropoda, Arachnida, Ixodida, Ixodidae. The record is from RefSeq and is a predicted model, not a curated record.